RNAcentral lists this unclassified non-coding RNA (777 nucleotides) under Hevea brasiliensis (rubber tree). Lineage: Eukaryota; Viridiplantae; Streptophyta; Magnoliopsida; Malpighiales; Euphorbiaceae. The record is from RNAcentral.
UACAUCACAGCUCAAAAAAUUGUAACACUAUGGCUUCUGUUCUUGUCUUAUAUUUCAUCCUUUUCUCUACACUCUUCAGCAGUCUUAAUGGCAAAUUCUCUGAGCAAUUCCCUUUAGCCAUAUCCACAAAACGAAUGGAGAAAAUGACUCGCCUGAACUUCUACUUCCAUGACGUCCUAAGUGGAAGUAGCCCAACAGCCAUCCUGAUUGCUGGGCCAUCGAGUAAGAUGGCCAAUAAAUUUGGCAGUACUUUCAUGAUUGAUGAUCCCUUGACGGAAGGACCAGAACCUACUUCAAAGCUUGUGGGACGAGCACAGGGAAUGUACAGUUUGGCCUCACAACAUGAUAUUGGGUUGCUGAUGGUUAUGGACUUUGCAUUUGUGGAGGGUAUGUAUAAUGGCAGUACCCUAAGCAUUCUUGGCCGUAAUCCUGUUCUCAAUACGGUGAGGGAAAUGCCGAUAGUUGGAGGCAGCGGACUUUUCAGGUAUGCUCGAGGCUACGCAUUGGCAAGGACAGUGUCAGCUGACCAGAAGACAGGAAAUGCUGUCGUUGAAUACAAUAUUUCUGUUGUGCACUUCUGAAUGUUUUGUACAAUCUGUGGUGCUUGCAUUUGUUCCUCUCGUUUGUUUCUUUUAUUCGGGAAUAUUGUGAAAAGGAAAGUGUUUUGAUUUUCUUAAGCAAUGUUGUUCCAGAGUUCAGAUUUCAGAAUGUUAGUAUUCCAUACUAUGGUUUGAGGCUACUGUUUUUGAGUUUCUCUUGGACAAUAAAUGAUUAUCA